CUCAGUUCGGAUUGAAGGCUGAAAUUCGCCUUCAUGAAGCCGGAAUUGCUAGUAAUGGCAGGUCAGCAUACUGCCGUGAAUACGUUCCCGGGCCUUGUACACACCGCCCGUCACACCAUGAGAGUUGGGAAUACCCGAAGCCUGUGAGCUAACGUUAAGAGGCAGCAGUCGAAGGUAGAAUCAAUGAUUGGGGUGAAGUCGUAACAAGGUAUC
This 213-nucleotide ribosomal RNA is filed under the name uncultured bacterium. RNAcentral's name for it is "partial 16S ribosomal RNA". It matches the Rfam family "Bacterial small subunit ribosomal RNA", at positions 1287 to 1500 of the family's 1533-position model. The record is from RNAcentral.